This is a non-coding RNA of Phascolarctos cinereus (koala), 1305 nucleotides long. NCBI's taxonomy places the organism in Eukaryota, Metazoa, Chordata, Mammalia, Diprotodontia, Phascolarctidae. The record is from RefSeq and is a predicted model, not a curated record.
CGAGGGGCGGUCCUCCAGGUCUUCUGGGAGCCUAGAGAAGCCUGUUAACUACAAACCAGAGACCCCCCGGGGCCGUCCUAGAGCCAGCAAGAUCUUUUGUGCUCCUACCAUCUCCCUGGCUGAGAGACCCCUAGAGUGCCAAGAUACUGCCAGUUGUGUCUGAAGCUCUACUGACCUCUGGAAGGUCAGUGGGAUUGCUGACCCUCAUAUAGGGGGACACCCUUGUGCUGGGGGGUCGGUCACUUUUUUUUUUCCUCUCAAGUGUUUUGGGAUACCAAGACAAGUGAGAGGCUGCCAGGAGACUGUCAGGAUGGGAAAUUUGGGGAAGGAGACCUCAAAGAAAAAUGCCUAGUGUUCCACUGUAACACAGCCUGACCUCAACGUAAUCUAGAAAAGUAAUUUGUGAAGGGGAUUUCUAAACCAGACAAUCUCAGUAAGAAAUCUGGUCUCCAAAACUUAAAAGGCACCUUGCUCUGUUUGAUCGGACUUUUGUUUCCCUACCUCCUGGUUCCCCUCCCUUGUGGGAAGUUGGGGGAGGUGGGUAGAUGGGGCCUUUGAGCCUGAUUUUCUUUGGGGGUCCAUGCACCCUGGUUUUGAGGUUUCAUUUUCUAGUACAUGCAGCUCAAAAUUCCCAGGAGGAUGACCAUGGAGAACUGAAAUGCUUAAGGCUUAUCUGAUAAGUCUCAAAAGUAAAAGAGACAAGGAACUACAGCUCCUCUCCAGGCAAGACUGGAAGAUCAUAUUAGGAAAACAGAGUUUCACAAUUACACCCCCACCUGCAAAUUCACCUUCCCCCACCUGUUGGAAAGGAAGGAAGGAGAGGGGCAGCAGCUACAGCCUGAAGAAUCAUCCAGGUUCAGCACAAGCAGCUCUGAGCAGCCUCUACAGUCUUGGGGAGAGAGGGAUAUGGAUCAAGGUAAAGAAGCCAGUCUGCAUCUGCACUUGCUGACUUUGAGCUGACCUUGCCUGAUCCCAGAACUACAAAAUGCUUGAGGGUCAUCAAAACCAGUUAAAAGAAGACCAUGAAAGUCAGUUUAAAAAAGAAAAGGAAAAAAAAGCCUGUUCUGACCAGAAGUACCCCUACAAUGCAUCAUUAAUCUACUCUUUGGACUUUUGGUUGUUAUGCAAAACAACCUUUGUAACAGCUUUGAGAAGCUGUGCCUUCCAAGAGAUUCUCUCCUCAUUGAAAUGUAUUUAAACUCAUUUCCUCCCUGCCUCUCAUGGGCACUUUGGCAACCCAGUACAAGGUAAUCUGGUAACCUCAGAUUGCAAUCCCCCUGCCUGGAUUAAAAGAAACUUUGUUUA